CUCCUCUAUAAAUAAAGGGGCAUAAAGACCCUCAAAGUAAGUUCUCCACUCUCACUCUCUCUAUUUUAUUGUUCUAUAUUUUCUGACUUGAGCAUCGGUGGGUCUUUACCAGAGAACACUCUGGUGGAAACUUUUUACAGGUUCUUGGAUGGAGCUUCAGCAGUAGUAGUGCCUCAACCACCUCCACCUCAACUGUUCUACCUCAGGCGCG
This 211-nucleotide long non-coding RNA is filed under the name Elaeis guineensis (African oil palm). RNAcentral describes it as "long non-coding RNA (EGUI_LNC017083)". The record is from RNAcentral. Lineage: Eukaryota; Viridiplantae; Streptophyta; Magnoliopsida; Arecales; Arecaceae.